This 459-nucleotide ribosomal RNA is filed under the name uncultured bacterium. RNAcentral's name for it is "partial 16S ribosomal RNA". It matches the Rfam family "Bacterial small subunit ribosomal RNA", at positions 338 to 795 of the family's 1533-position model. The record is from RNAcentral.
CCUACGGGAGGCUGCAGUGAGGAAUAUUGGUCAAUGGACGAGAGUCUGAACCAGCCAAGUAGCGUGAAGGAUGACUGCCCUAUGGGUUGUAAACUUCUUUUAUAAAGGCAUAGAACGAGGCACGUCCUCCUUUUUGCAUGUCCUUUAUGUAUAUGUAUCGGCGAACUCCGUUCCAGCAGCCGCGGUAAUACGGAGGAUGCGAGCGUUAUCCGGAUUUAUUGGGCUUAAAGGGUGCGCAGGCGGAGGCACAAGUCAGCGGUAAAAUCGCGGGGCUCAACCCCGCUCCGCCGUUGAAACUGUGUCCCUUGAGUGCGCGAAGGGUAGGCGGAAUGCGUGGUGUAGCGGUGAAAUGCAUAGAUAUCACGCGGAACUCCGAUCGCGAAGGCAGCCUACCGGCGCGCAACUGACGCUCAGGCACGAAAGCGUGGGUAUCGAACAGGAUUAGAUACCCUUGUAGUC